UGUGAGUGAUGACAACUCUUGCCCCGACUAAAUACUGGGGGUACAAAAUGAUUUAAUGAGCCUGACAC
Molecule: small nucleolar RNA, 68 nt
Organism: Gadus morhua (Atlantic cod)
Lineage: Eukaryota; Metazoa; Chordata; Actinopteri; Gadiformes; Gadidae
Source: Ensembl